Molecule: ribosomal RNA, 788 nt
Filed under: uncultured bacterium
Lineage: Bacteria
Description: bacterial SSU rRNA
Rfam family: Bacterial small subunit ribosomal RNA
Source: RNAcentral
GAGCAACCUGCCCCGAAGACUGGGAUAACACCGGGAAACCGGUGCUAAUACCGGAUGCCCUCCUCUGGUCGCAUGGCCUAAGGAGGAAACGAAUUUUGCUUCGGGAGGGGCUCGCGGGCUAUCAGCUAGUUGGUGAGGUAACGGCUCACCAAGGCGACGACGGCUAGCUGGUCUGAGAGGACGACCAGCCACACUGGGACUGAGACACGGCCCAGACUCCUACGGGAGGCAGCAGUGGGGAAUCUUGCGCAAUGGGCGAAAGCCUGACGCAGCAACGCCGCGUGGGGGAUGAAUGCCUUCGGGUUGUAAACCCCUUUCAGCAGGGACGAAUCUGACGGUACCUGCAGAAGAAGCCCCGGCCAACUACGUGCCAGCAGCCGCGGUAAUACGUAGGGGGCGAGCGUUGUCCGGAUUUAUUGGGCGUAAAGAGCUCGUAGGCGGCUUGGCAAGUCGGGUGUGAAACCUCCAGGCUUAACCUGGAGACGCCACUCGAUACUGCCAUGGCUAGAGUCCGGUAGGGGACCACGGAAUUCCUGGUGUAGCGGUGAAAUGCGCAGAUAUCAGGAGGAACACCGGUGGCGAAGGCGGUGGUCUGGGCCGGCACUGACGCUGAGGAGCGAAAGCGUGGGUAGCAAACAGGAUUAGAUACCCUGGUAGUCCACGCCGUAAACGUUGGGCACUAGGUGUGGGGCCUUAUCAACGGGUUCCGUGCCGUAGCUAACGCAUUAAGUGCCCCGCCUGGGGAGUACGGCCGCAAGGCUAAAACUCAAAGGAAUUGACGGAAUCGA